RNAcentral lists this ribosomal RNA (671 nucleotides) under Staphylococcus epidermidis. RNAcentral describes it as "bacterial SSU rRNA". It matches the Rfam family "Bacterial small subunit ribosomal RNA", at positions 79 to 735 of the family's 1533-position model. Lineage: Bacteria; Bacillati; Bacillota; Bacilli; Caryophanales; Staphylococcaceae. The record is from RNAcentral.
CUUGCUCCUCUGACGUUGGCGGCGGACGGGUGAGUAACACGUGGAUAACCUACCUAUAAGACUGGGAUAACUUCGGGAAACCGGAGCUAAUACCGGAUAAUAUUUUGAACCGCAGGGUUCAAUAGUGAAAGACGGUUUUGCUGUCACUUAUAGAUGGAUCCGCGCCGCAUUACCUAGUUGGUAAGGUAACGGCUUACCAAGGCAACGAUGCGUAGCCAACCUGAAAGGGUGAUCGGCCACACUGGAACUGAAACACGGUCCAAACUCCUACGGGAGGCAGCAGUAGGGAAUCUUCCGCAAUGGGCGAAAGCCUGACGGAGCAACGCCGCGUGAGUGAUGAAGGUCUUCGGAUCGUAAAACUCUGUUAUUAGGGAAGAACAAAUGUGUAACUAACUAUGCACGUCUUGACGGUACCUAAUCAGAAAGCCACGGCUAACUACGUGCCAGCAGCCGCGGUAAUACGUAGGUGGCAAGCGUUAUCCUGAAUUAUUGGGCGUAAAGCGCGCGUAGGCCGUUUUUUAACUCUGAUGUGAAAUCCCACGGCUCAACCGUGGAGGGUCAUUGGAAACUGGAAAACUUGAGUGCAGAACAGGAAAGUGGAAUUCCAUGUGUAGCGGUGAAAUGCGCAGAGAUAUGGAGGAACACCGGUGGCUAAAGCGACUUUCUGGUCU